Molecule: long non-coding RNA, 661 nt
Organism: Numida meleagris (helmeted guineafowl)
Lineage: Eukaryota; Metazoa; Chordata; Aves; Galliformes; Numididae
Exons: 3
Source: RefSeq, a predicted model, not a curated record
CUGCAUGUAGUUCCAAUACUUACCUACUGUAAUUUUGUCAUUCAGUUGUCUCCUGGUCUGAAGAGUCCAUUACCAGUGCUUCCUGCCGUUAUUAAGGGUUUAAAAGUGUGUCCUUGAUCUAUGACUCGGACCAUUAGAAAGCUGGAAGGACCAACACUUAAUCCUUAGCCACUACAUUACAAACUGAAGUCAGCUGUCAGACAUGAAAUUGCCCCAGCCAAGAAUCUGUAGCACUUUUCUCUUCAUGUACCAAGUAUCACACAGGACAGGAAGACAAACACAGAGGAGCCAGUGAAGCAAAAUAUUAGCUAAGCUCUUAGGCUGGCAAGAGAGCUUGAACAUGAGACGCUGACAUACCUCUGUAAGGUACAGCACAAACACCCACACUUGAGGCAAGGCUCACUGAAGUCCUUCAGCAGAAGAGCUGGGCAGGUGCCUGUACGUGAAGGAUAUGAGCGUCUUGCCUACAGAGACCAGACUAGCAGAACUCCGUAGAAAGAACAGACUCCUGAACACUGACCCCUGUUCUAGCACUGAUGCAAUCCUGCCACUCAGGUACUUCAUGUAAUAAACUGUUUGUAGGUACGGCUCUGUUCCUGUGUGAGCAGAUAUAAGUUUUGUUAUCCCAUUAUAAAAUUGAAAGACUGGCUGUGCAAGGAAC